GCCUUUGACAAAAUUCAACAACCCUUCAUGCUAAAAACUCUCAAUAAAUUAGGUAUUGAUGGGACGUAUUUCAAAUUAAUAAGAGGAAACACUUUUCAACAUGUUUUAUGAGUCUACCGUUAUCCCCAUACCAAAACCAUAAAACAGACAUUACAAGAAAAUGUCCUGUAGACAAAUAUGUAUUUUGAUGAUGAAUUUAGAUUUCAAAAACUUCAGCAAAAUAUUAUCCAAUUAAAUCCUCUCAUGUCUGUGUGUGUGUGUGUGUGCAUGCACGUGUGUUUGUAAAAUAUAUCAUUACUAAUUGGCGUUUAUCUUGGGAGUUCAAGAUGGUUUCCAUAUUCAAUCAACCCAUCAAUGUGGACUAUGGUCACUUGAAAAGACCAGCAAAUCCUCUGCACAAAAGGCCACUAGAAAUUCAUUAAAGCAGCCUUCCAUCAUUCUCGAAAUUGACCAAAGCAUUCAACUACCUGAGAAAUAUUUAUGUUUGGAAAGCUAUUGAAAUGCAAUUAAAAAUAUCAGGAAACCUGUUUUUACCUUUUGUCCUAAUCUUGCUAAAUCCUUCUUAAUUUUAGGAGACACUGCUUCUCCUUCCACUGUUCUUUUACUUUCUCCUUCCCCUUUGUUUUUGCCUCCCCCUUCCUCUCCCUUUUCUACAUUCCUUCUCUCUCCUAAAUGCUGUAUAAAUUUCUACAUAUGUAAUCAUAUUAUUUACAAAUAGGAACAGUUUUACUUAUUUCUUUCCAGUCUGCAUUUAUUUUAUUCUUCCUUUUUUUCCUUACACACUGGAUAGAACUCUAAGUAUUAUGUUGAAAAAGAGUGAUAAAAGCAAACAUCUUUGCUUUAUUCCUGAGCAUACAUGUGGAAAACAUUCAGUGUUUCACAGCUAAAUAUGAUGGAUUUUUUGUAUGCUCUUUAUCAAGAUGAAGGAAUUUUCUGCUAUUUCUGGUUUGCUGAAUUUUUAUCACAAGUAACUGUUGAAUAGUGUCUUUUUCCCCUGCAUUUAUUGAACUGAUCAUGCAUUCUCCUAUUUUAGAAUAUUAAUAUGAUGAACUAUAUUAUUAGAUUUUUUAAAAUAUUGCAACUGUCUUGCAUUUCUGGAAUAAACAUGGCUUGGUCAUGUGUCACUUUUUUACAUAGUGUCGUAUUCAAGUUGUCGAGGAUUUUGCAUCUAGGGUAUAUUUGUAGAUUUGCAUCUAGGUUAUGUUGGUCUAAAGUUUUGUUUGUUUGUUUUCCUUUUCUUUUUUUUUAUCAUCUUUGUCUUCUUCUGUUUAAGUGUCAUGCUUGCUUCAUAAAAUGAAUUGAGAAGCAUUUCUUCCUCUUCUGUUUCUCGAAAAUUGUAGAGAACUCUUGUUUUUUGUUGUUGUUUGUUUGUUGUUUUGUUUUUUCUUAUUUUUAUCCUCAUACUGAGAACCAAACAGUCUGGAGUGUAAAACAUGGUUCCUCAUUCCAGUUAAAUCUAGUAUACAAUGACAACAACCCUCUUGGGUUAAGCAUUGGCCUACAAACAGAAAAAAACCUUCAGGGAGAUAGAUGCUGAUCUAGGCAUUGUGAGAAAAGCUGAAUUCAUUUUUAAUCAUGAAUGGCUUUUAAGGAAAGAAGAUUUAUUAACUAAAAUAAAUAGAUUAGAGGGAAUUCUCACCUAUGAGAGAGGAAGGGAUGGGAUUCAACCUGGAAAAAGUAAUGAAGUUUUAGUGAACUUGGUAAGGUAGACUCAACAAUUAAUGAUGGAUAAUGCUAGGACCCAACACUGGUAAUGAGUUUGUAUUAUGACUCAAUAGCAUCACUUUAUCACUUUAACACAGAUGGAGGCCUAAAUAACCAUAGGGUAAUGGUUCUUCUUAGAUGCAGAAGGACACAUUUAUAUAAUCUUAGGGACCCCAUCUCUGAGGUCACUCAUAAUUUAUAUUAAUUCAUUGUUAUUGCCAUUGCCCCAAGAAUAGAUAAGGAUAAGACAUCCUGUAGUACAGGUAGCAGAGAUAUAAACUAUUCUUAUUCUUGUGUCUUGUCUAUAGGAAGGGAGUGUAUCCUGGUGUAAGACAGCAUAUAGUAGAGACCAUUGUCAAUUAGGGCCUGUGAACUAAGACAGGGUGACUGGCUAAGUCCACAACCCAUUAGAAACCCAGAAAUAAUCAAAUCAUGAGGGAUCAUGGAAAGGAAGCUGAAUUUGCCAAGUUUUGCCACUUGGGCAUUGCAUGCCUAUGUGAUUAACCACCAAUAAAAACCUGGGACAUCAAAGAAUAAAUAAGCUGCUCUAAUUGCCAAGAAUUCACAUGUGGUUGUAUGCAGCUUUACUGGGAGACUGAAGUGUAUCUGCAUGUGAUUCUGCUGUGAUGGACACUUGUAAGUUUGUGCCUGGAGUCUCCUGGACUUUGCCCUGAGAAUCUUUUUCCUUUGUUGAUAUGACUCUGCAUCCUUUUGUUUUAAUAAACUGUAAACAUGAGUAUAAUUGCUUCUCUGAGUUCUGAGAGUUUUUUAAAUAAUCAAAGCUGAAGAGCAAUGGAGACCCCCACCAAAACAUCUUUACACAUUUCAAUUUUGUAUUGAAGUAAAUUUUAUUUUCUUUUUUAUACCUCCCAUAUAUAUUCUAUUUUUCUCAUUAUUAUUUAUUUUAUCCCAAAUCUUUUAUCUGUGAUCAUUUUCCUUUGUUUGAAAUUUGUCUUUUGACGUUUCUUUGGAAGGUGCUUUUGGAUGAUAAAUUUUCUGUUAUUCUUUGUCUAAAAUGUCAUUAUUUUGACUCAUUUAUAAAAGGAGUUUUUGUGUUUUAUAAACCUCUAAUGUAUAGAAGUGUGUCUAAACUCAUUGAGGAUAUUUUCCAAAUUUUUUCCUACUUUUUAUUGCUGUUGAUAAGAAGUCAGUGUUGGUAUUUUGACAUUUAAGUUAUGUGUCAUUUUGUUGUGGUAGUUCUGAAGAUCUUCCCUCUGUUUUAUAUUCUCCUUCACCUUUCAUAAAUGUACUUUAUAUUUAUUUGGUAAUAAAUUUUGAACAUAUACUAUGCUAUAAAGAUAAUCUAGGCCCUUUGGUUACAUCUUGUAAAUAAAAUCAACAAAAUCUGUUUUGAGAUUAUAUUGUAAUAUAAGAUACCCAAAGUAACUAGGAUGUGUACCAUAUGUUUGAAGGUGGUAAAUACGAUGAGAAAAAUAGAUCAGGUCAGGAAGAAUGAAGAUGAUUGAAGGUACAGUUUAUGAUGAAAACUUAGGUGUGCCGAGGAAUGAUUCAUCUUAUGUAUCUUGAGUGUAAUGUCUUAUUUCUCCUGAAUCUGAGAAUUUGAUGUCUUUCAUUAGGGAUGUCAGUAAAUCUCACUAAUGAAUAUAUUAGACUCCAGUUUAAUAUAUGAUAGUCAUUUUCAUUCUGUCUUUCAUAUCACUGAAUCCUUUCUCUUUAUUGUUCAUUUUUAUACAUCUCUUAAUAGUCAAAGUGAAUUUAACUAUGUUUUACGUUAUGUGGUUAUUCUCACUUUAGCUAUCUCUAACAUAUUAUGAAUGUGUCAGUUGUGUGUUUACCGUUGUUUGAAUUAAACUUUUAAAUCAUU
This 3529-nucleotide long non-coding RNA is filed under the name Homo sapiens (human). RNAcentral's name for it is "HSALNT0352554". The record is from RNAcentral. Lineage: Eukaryota; Metazoa; Chordata; Mammalia; Primates; Hominidae.